GACGAACGCUGGCGGCGUGCUUAACACAUGCGAGUCGAACGGAAAGGCCCUGCUUUUGUGGGGUGCUCGAGUGGCGAACGGGUGAGUAACACGUGAGUAACCUGCCCUUGACUUUGGGAUAACUUCAGGAAACUGGGGUUAAUACCGGAUAGGAGCUCCUGCUGCAUGGUGGGGGUUGGAAAGUUUCGGCGGUUGGGGAUGGACUCGCGGCUUAUCAGCUUGUUGGUGGGGUAGUGGCUUACCAAGGCUUUGACGGGUAGCCGGCCUGAGAGGGUGACCGGCCACAUUGGGACUGAGAUACGGCCCAGACUCCUACGGGAGGCAGCAGUGGGGAAUAUUGCACAAUGGGCGGAAGCCUGAUGCAGCAACGCCGCGUGCGGGAUGACGGCCUUCGGGUUGUAAACCGCUUUCGCCUGUGACGAAGCGUGAGUGACGGUAAUGGGUAAAGAAGCACCGGCUAACUACGUG
RNAcentral lists this ribosomal RNA (468 nucleotides) under uncultured bacterium. RNAcentral's name for it is "partial 16S ribosomal RNA". It matches the Rfam family "Bacterial small subunit ribosomal RNA", at positions 28 to 507 of the family's 1533-position model. The record is from RNAcentral.